RNAcentral lists this ribosomal RNA (497 nucleotides) under uncultured bacterium. Its description in RNAcentral is "partial 16S ribosomal RNA". It matches the Rfam family "Bacterial small subunit ribosomal RNA", at positions 28 to 507 of the family's 1533-position model. The record is from RNAcentral.
GAUGAACGCUGGCGGCGUGCCUAAUACAUGCAAGUCGAGCGAACAGACGAGGAGCUUGCUCCUCUGACGUUAGCGGCGGACGGGUGAGUAACACGUGGAUAACCUACCUAUAAAACUGGGAUAACCUCGGGAAACCGGAGCUAAUACCGGAUAAUAUAUUGAACCGCAUGGUUCAAUAGUGAAAGACGGUUUUGCUGUCACUUAUAGAUGGAUCCGCGCCGCAUUAGCUAGUUGGUAAGGUAACGGCUUACCAAGGCGACGAUGCGUAGCCGACCUGAGAGGAUGAUCGGCCACACUGGAACUGAGACACGGUCCAGACUCCUACGGGAGGCAGCAGUAGGGAAUCUUCCGCGAUGGGCGAAAGCCUGACGGAGCAACGCCGCGUGAGUGAUGAAGGUCUUCGGAUCGUAAAACUCUGUUAUUAGGGAAGAACAAAUGUGUAAGUAACUAUGCACGUCUUGACGGUACCUAAUCAGAAAGCCACGGCUAACUACGUG